Gossypium raimondii (Peruvian cotton) is the source of this 145-nucleotide non-coding RNA. Lineage: Eukaryota; Viridiplantae; Streptophyta; Magnoliopsida; Malvales; Malvaceae. The record is from Rfam.
UGUUAAUAUUUUCAUCUAUUUUUACUGUUAAAAACUGGCAUGACUAACAGAAUAACCAAAUAGUGACACGCGACGUGCCACAUGUACCUCAUGCUGACGUACAAGGGCCAAUUUUUAACAGUAGAAAUGGAUGAAAUUUUUAAUA